ACUCGGUCGACCUCGCGAUGAGUAUAAUAGGUAUAGGAAAAGUAACAACCGUUUUGGGCGACCGUGAUGACGAUGAUGGAAUAAAAAAUAUAUAAAUUAUAAUAUUAAAUGUAUAGAUUACUGGUAUUACACAGGCACUAGGUGCGUACGCGUUAUUCACAAAAACAGAAAUUAUCGAAAUAGCCCAGGGGCGUAUUUAGGAUUUUAUCAAGGAGGGGAAUACAGCGAGUUUCAAUUA
This is a non-coding RNA of Cinara cedri, 238 nucleotides long. The record is from the annotation of a GenBank genome assembly. Lineage: Eukaryota; Metazoa; Arthropoda; Insecta; Hemiptera; Aphididae.